CUUGUUGUCAUGGAGAUUCUAACACAAUGGGGCAGGUAGGAAGCCUGUCGCUUGGCAACGAGAGGCUGGAGGUACAGGAUUGGCUGCUGAGGUCUAAGGGAGCAGAAAGGAUGAUAAGGGAAGGUGGGAAAGUAGAGAAAUACCCUGGGGGGGACACAAAGGCACAGGAGAGAAGCAGAAGACAGGACCAGGGUGAAGAGAGAAAAAUAGAAACGAGAAGAGAGAACACACAACCUCCCUGGGGCUGGGUCACCAACUGUGUAUUUGCUUGGAUGCCCUCAGCAAAAACAACAAGGCAAAACAAACACAUGCUAAUAUAUUUUCAUAGCUGCAUUGACAUUGUAGCACAAAGAGUGGAGAUUUAGACAAAAAGAAGUUCCUAAAUAUCAGAGCGGGGAAAUUCUACGGGGGAGACUCUACUGCACAGUGGAAAGAUGACAGGCUUUAGAUAAAACACAUGGAUUUGACUCUCCACUCUACCCAGUCCUUGAAGUGUGGCCUUCUCAAGCGACAUAACCUCUUUGAGCUCUGGUUUCCUCAUCUUCAAAAUGGGAACAGCGACAUGUAUCUCACAAGGCUGCUGCAAGACUCAGUGCCAAUGUGAUGAGCACUGGCCGUAGUGGGAGCUCAGGAAGGGGUCAAUCACAUGGUUACAGUUGUUGGCCUUUUGUGACCAACUACCCACUGUUGUCUUAAUUACCAUGACUAUGACCAGAAUUGACAGCUGUGUGGUGGGGUAGAAAGAGCCCUGUUCCCAAUGUCCAAAGACCUGGCUUCCACCUGUACCAACACAGCCUACAGUCUGAGCCUCAGGCAAACUAUUAACCUUUCUUGUUUGACUUGCCCACCUAUGAAAUGGGUAUAAUAAUCUCUCCCUCAGAGUGUCAUCAGGAGGAUCAUGUUCAAUUAGGUUGGUCAAGAACCUAUCCCAAUCCUGAGCACCUGUGGAUGUCUUACAUGCUGGGCGCUCUGACUCCUAACACCAGACCUGCGUCUGCUCUCUGCAGUGGAGACCUAUAGGUCUGGGCUGGGGCCACUCUCAAUCCUUCUUCAAGGAAGGGAAGGGUUCCAUGGUGCCUGGGUGCCGUUCCUAGCACCCAAAUCACAUGUAACUAUGGCGAAGAGAGUGGAAGAGAGAACACAGAGGCAUGGAAGACAAAGCAAAGGCACAUCCUCCAGGUUCAUUUCCAAGUAAAUUAAUUUUGCCAAAGCAAUGACUUCUGUCACCAGGAGCAAAGACAGCAGGGGGAGACCUGACAAUAGUUACAGAAGCCCUAGGAAGGGGCAAACCUCCCAGAAGACAGCUCUGGCUCCAAAGAUGGACGAAAUGAGGCGUCCAGAACCAGACUUGAGGAUCCAACCCCAAAUCCUCCCCUUGCACAGAGCCCGAUGCGACCCAUGAACUGCGAGAUCACGAUCUGAGCCGAAGUCAGACGCUUAACUUACUGAGCUACCCAGGCACCCUGAGAACCUUCCUUCUUCUGGGGCUCCUCUUAGCUCCAGCCUUGGUUCCCUCCCAUACAGAUGGAUGGUAAAAGGCUCAUUCAAUGGUAAAAGGCUCUUAGGAAUGACUGUGGGCUCUCUGUCCCCAAGGGCCAUAAGAAUAAGGUGACCAGAAGCACAGAUGAGCUGCCCUGCUCCAGACCCUUCCCCUCUAGGGCAGAUAACUUAGCCUGAGCUGCCCCGUCAUUUGGAGCCCAGAACUUGGCCUGUGACUUCAGAACGCAGCCCCGAUUUCUGAGCACAGAACACUUCAUAAUAAACAGCAGGGAAAGUGAAGCCGAGAUGAGCCUACAUCUCAGAAUUGUUUCCAAAUAAAGUGUUAUUUUUUUCCUC
Molecule: long non-coding RNA, 1836 nt
Organism: Felis catus (domestic cat)
Lineage: Eukaryota; Metazoa; Chordata; Mammalia; Carnivora; Felidae
Exons: 3
Source: RefSeq, a predicted model, not a curated record